CCUGUUGUCAAUGCCCAAUCUUGUCUAAUCUCAAAAGAGAAGCAGGUUGUGCCUGGUUAGUACUUGGAUGGGAGACUGCUGGGAAUAGCAGGUGCCAGUGGGU
This 103-nucleotide ribosomal RNA is filed under the name Periophthalmus magnuspinnatus. The record is from RNAcentral. Lineage: Eukaryota; Metazoa; Chordata; Actinopteri; Gobiiformes; Gobiidae.